UGCAGUCGAGGGGCAUCAGGAAGAAAGCUUGCUUUCUUUGCUGGCGACCGGCGCACGGGUGAGUAACACGUAUCCAACCUGCCCUUUACUCGGGGAUAGCCUUUCGAAAGAAAGAUUAAUACCCGAUAGCAUAAUGAUUCCGCAUGGUUUCAUUAUUAAAGGAUUCCGGUAAAGGAUGGGGAUGCGUUCCAUUAGGUUGUUGGUGAGGUAACGGCCCACCAAGCCUUCGAUGGAUAGGGGUUCUGAGAGGAAGGUCCCCCACAUUGGAACUGAGACACGGUCCAAACUCCUACGGGAGGCAGCAGUGAGGAAUAUUGGUCAAUGGGCGCUAGCCUGAACCAGCCAAGUAGCGUGAAGGAUGAAGGCUCUAUGGGUCGUAAACUUCUUUUAUAUAAGAAUAAAGUGCAGUAUGUAUACUGUUUUGUAUGUAUUAUAUGAAUAAGGAUCGGCUAACUCCGUGCCAGCAGCCGCGGUAAUACGGAGGAUCCGAGCGUUAUCCGGAUUUAUUGGGUUUAAAGGGAGCGUAGGUGGACUGGUAAGUCAGUUGUGAAAGUUUGCGGCUCAACCGUAAAAUUGCAGUUGAUACUGUCAGUCUUGAGUACAGUAGAGGUGGGCGGAAUUCGUGGUGUAGCGGUGAAAUGCUUAGAUAUCACGAAGAACUCCGAUUGCGAAGGCAGCUCACUGGACUGCAACUGACACUGAUGCUCGAAAGUGUGGGUAUCAAACAGGAUUAGAUACCCUGGUAGUCCACACAGUAAACGAUGAAUACUCGCUGUUUGCGAUAUACAGUAAGCGGCCAAGCGAAAGCAUUAAGUAUUCCACCUGGGGAGUACGCCGGCAACGGUGAAACUCAAAGGAAUUGACGGGGGCCCGCACAAGCGGAGGAACAUGUGGUUUAAUUCGAUGAUACGCGAGGAACCUUACCCGGGCUUAAAUUGCAGUGGAAUGAUGUGGAAACAUGUCAGUGAGCAAUCACCGCUGUGAAGGUGCUGCAUGGUUGUCGUCAGCUCGUGCCGUGAGGUGUCGGCUUAAGUGCCAUAACGAGCGCAACCCUUAUCUUCAGUUACUAACAGGUCAUGCUGAGGACUCUGGAGAGACUGCCGUCGUAAGAUGUGAGGAAGGUGGGGAUGACGUCAAAUCAGCACGGCCCUUACGUCCGGGGCUACACACGUGUUACAAUGGGGGGUACAGAAGGCAGCUAGCGGGUGACCGUAUGCUAAUCCCAAAAGCCUCUCUCAGUUCGGAUCGAAGUCUGCAACCCGACUUCGUGAAGCUGGAUUCGCUAGUAAUCGCGC
This 1295-nucleotide ribosomal RNA is filed under the name Bacteroides fragilis. RNAcentral's name for it is "bacterial SSU rRNA". It matches the Rfam family "Bacterial small subunit ribosomal RNA", at positions 56 to 1347 of the family's 1533-position model. The record is from RNAcentral. Lineage: Bacteria; Pseudomonadati; Bacteroidota; Bacteroidia; Bacteroidales; Bacteroidaceae.